Molecule: transfer RNA, 72 nt
Filed under: Bos taurus (domestic cattle)
Lineage: Eukaryota; Metazoa; Chordata; Mammalia; Artiodactyla; Bovidae
Also listed under: 1 other name
Rfam family: tRNA
About the family: Transfer RNA (tRNA) molecules are approximately 80 nucleotides in length.
Source: Rfam by way of RNAcentral
UCCCUGGUAGCUUAGACAGUAAAGCGUCAGCCUGCAAUGUGGGAGGCCCAGGUUCGAUCCCUGAGUUGGGAA